RNAcentral lists this unclassified non-coding RNA (229 nucleotides) under plant metagenome. Its description in RNAcentral is "partial contains small subunit ribosomal RNA, internal transcribed spacer 1, and 5.8S ribosomal RNA". The record is from RNAcentral.
UCUCCGUAGGUGAACCUGCGGAGGGAUCAUUACAGAGUUCAUGCCCUAACGGGUAGAUCUCCCACCCUAUGUUAUCAUCACUUUGUUGCUCUGGCGGGCCGUCAGGCCUCGGCUUGGCUACCGGCUCUCGCUGGUAAGCGCCCGCCAGAGAACCCCAAACCCUGAAUAUCAGUGUCGUCUGAGUACUAUAUAAUAGUUAAAACUUUCAACAACGGAUCUCUUGGUUCUG